AGAGUUUGAUCAUGGCUCAGAUUGAACGCUGGCGGCAUGCCUUACACAUGCAAGUCGAACGGCAGCGCGGGGCAACCUGGCGGCGAGUGGCGAACGGGUGAGUAAUAUAUCGGAACGUACCCUGGAGUGGGGGAUAACGUAGCGAAAGUUACGCUAAUACCGCAUACGAUCUAAGGAUGAAAGUGGGGGAUCGCAAGACCUCAUGCUCCUGGAGCGGCCGAUAUCUGAUUAGCUAGUUGGUGGGGUAAAGGCCUACCAAGGCAUCGAUCAGUAGCUGGUCUGAGAGGACGACCAGCCACACUGGAACUGAGACACGGUCCAGACUCCUACGGGAGGCAGCAGUGGGGAAUUUUGGACAAUGGGCGAAAGCCUGAUCCAGCAAUGCCGCGUGAGUGAAGAAGGCCUUCGGGUUGUAAAGCUCUUUUGUCAGGGAAGAAACGGCGGUUUCUAAUACAGAUCGCUAAUGACGGUACCUGAAGAAUAAGCACCGGCUAACUACGUGCCAGCAGCCGCGGUAAUACGUAGGGUGCAAGCGUUAAUCGGAAUUACUGGGCGUAAAGCGUGCGCAGGCGGUUUUGUAAGUCUGUCGUGAAAUCCCCGGGCUCAACCUGGGAAUUGCGAUGGAGACUGCAAGGCUAGAAUCUGGCAGAGGGGGGUAGAAUUCCACGUAGCAGUGAAAUGCGUAGAGAUGUGGAGGAACACCGAUGGCGAAGGCAGCCCCCUGGGUCAAGAUUGACGCUCAUGCACGAAAGCGUGGGGAGCAAACAGGAUUAGAUACCCUAGUAGUCC
RNAcentral lists this ribosomal RNA (789 nucleotides) under uncultured bacterium. Its description in RNAcentral is "bacterial SSU rRNA". It matches the Rfam family "Bacterial small subunit ribosomal RNA", at positions 8 to 796 of the family's 1533-position model. The record is from RNAcentral.